UUGGAGGGCAAGUCUGGUGCCAGCAGCCGCGGUAAUUCCAGCUCCAAUAGCGUAUAUUAAUGUUGUUGCAGUUAAAAAGCUCGUAGUUGAAUUUCGGGAUUAGUACGUUGGUCGUGCCUUCGGUACGUACUGGUGUUACUGAUUCCUACCUUCUGACGAACCAUCAUGUCAUUAAUUUGGUGUGGCGGGGAAUCAGGACUGUUACUUUGAAAAAAUUAGAGUGUUUAAAGCAGGCUCGCGCUUGAAUACAUUAGCAUGGAAUAAUGAAAUAGGACGUUGAUCCUAUUUUGUUGGUUUCUAGGAUUGACGUAAUGAUUAAUAGGGAUAGUUGGGGGCAUUAGUAUUCAAUUGUCAGAGGUGAAAUUCUUGGAUUUAUUGAAGACUAACUACUGCGAAAGCAUUUGCCAAGGAUGUUUUCAUUAAUCAAGAACGAAAGUUAGGGGAUCGAAGACGAUCAGAUACCGUCGUAGUCUUAACCAUAAACUAUGCCGACUAGGGAUCGGAUGAUGUUAUUUUUAAUACUCAUUCGGCGCCUUACGGGAAAC
RNAcentral lists this ribosomal RNA (545 nucleotides) under uncultured Glomeromycotina. RNAcentral describes it as "SSU rRNA". It matches the Rfam family "Eukaryotic small subunit ribosomal RNA", at positions 548 to 1098 of the family's 1831-position model. Lineage: Eukaryota; Fungi; Glomeromycota. The record is from RNAcentral.